AACGAACGCUGGCGGCAUGCCUAACACAUGCAAGUCGAACGAGACCUUCGGGUCUAGUGGCGCACGGGUGCGUAGCGCGUGGGAACCUGCCUUUAGGUUCGGAAUAACUCAGAGAAAUUUGAGCUAAUACCGGAUAAUGUCUUCGGACCAAAGAUUUAUCGCCUUUAGAUGGGCCCGCGUUGGAUUAGCUAGUUGGUGGGGUAAAGGCCUACCAAGGCGACGAUCCAUAGCUGGUCUGAGAGGAUGAUCAGCCACACUGGGACUGAGUCACGGCCCAGACUCCUACGGGAGGCAGCAGUGGGGAAUAUUGGACAAUGGGCGAAAGCCUGAUCCAGCAAUGCCGCGUGAGUGAUGAAGGCCUUAGGGUUGUAAAGCUCUUUUACCCGAGAUGAUAAUGACAGUAUCGGGAGAAUAAGCUCCGGCUAACUCCGUGCCAGCAGCCGCGGUAAU
This 450-nucleotide ribosomal RNA is filed under the name uncultured bacterium. Its description in RNAcentral is "bacterial SSU rRNA". It matches the Rfam family "Bacterial small subunit ribosomal RNA", at positions 29 to 524 of the family's 1533-position model. The record is from RNAcentral.